GGGGUUGUGGCUCAGUGGUAGAGAGCUUGCCUUGCAUGCAUGAGGCACCGAGUUCAAUCCCC
Molecule: transfer RNA, 62 nt
Filed under: Ictidomys tridecemlineatus (thirteen-lined ground squirrel)
Lineage: Eukaryota; Metazoa; Chordata; Mammalia; Rodentia; Sciuridae
Description: Spermophilus tridecemlineatus (thirteen-lined ground squirrel) tRNA
Rfam family: tRNA
About the family: Transfer RNA (tRNA) molecules are approximately 80 nucleotides in length. Their secondary structure includes four short double-helical elements and three loops (D, anti-codon, and T loops).
Source: Rfam by way of RNAcentral